GAAAAUCAGAGAUGUCCAAUUUUAAUUAGUACGAGAAUUUUUAAACAAUAAACCUAAAAUAAAUCUAUGUGGUUAGAUUCUUAGACCCAAAAUAGACUAUACCGGAGAAUAAAGAGUUAUACAUGAGCUUUCAAAUUUCCAACAGAACACCUAUAACAUUACGGACAACCAGACAUCCCAAUUCUGAGGGAAACAUCUCUUUCUCUCUCUCUUCAUCCCACCAAUAAUGUUGCUCUAAGUGAGUCGGGAAGAAAACAAUAUUUCUCAGCUUCUUAUUUUCUCUUCCAAACACACUUCAUCGAAGUUAAAUUGACUCUGCAAGAUAUAGCUUUUCUCGCCAACACAACAUUUUUUUAAACUUUGAGGAUAUAAACAUAAGAACGUAGCUGGGUGAACAUUUAACUGAGUGCGAAUCCAAAGUCGACCUUCAGUUCGUCAAAAGCUUUUAACACAAAAAAAAAUUUCAGAAAAUGUUUGAGUGUUCUUUUUUUUUUUUUUUUUUUUUUGAACACGUCUGAGUGUUGUUCAAUUUUGCCAGUUUUGUUGAUCACACAACAACGACUGCAUACAAUGCUGUGACACCGAUUAAUAGCCCAAACAUAUCACUUAAUUAGCCACUUGGCAUCUAUACUAUACUAAAAGUUGCAUAUCCUCAAUGCUCAAGCUGUCCACGACAGAUUUUAUAUUCAGACCAAUCAAAAGAUUUCAAAUUACCACGUCAUUUCAUCCUUCGUUCGAUACAUCUUACAACCGGGCCAUUCAUGUGGGCUUUGAAUUGGACCAUUUCAAGCCUAUCUCUCAUCGCAAAUCGUUUCUGACUCUUC
This 824-nucleotide long non-coding RNA is filed under the name Brassica rapa (field mustard). RNAcentral's name for it is "long non-coding RNA (BRAP_LNC005645)". Lineage: Eukaryota; Viridiplantae; Streptophyta; Magnoliopsida; Brassicales; Brassicaceae. The record is from RNAcentral.